Molecule: long non-coding RNA, 1001 nt
Filed under: Homo sapiens (human)
Lineage: Eukaryota; Metazoa; Chordata; Mammalia; Primates; Hominidae
Description: HSALNT0364887
Source: RNAcentral
UAGCACUGGCUCAGAAAAGCCCAGGCCUUCCAAGAAUGUAACCUUCAUGGAGAAAUUCUGCGACUCUUUCUCCUCUUGGGAGGCUAGAGAGGUAAGACGUAGAAGGAGAGAGAGAAAAAGAGACACGGAGAAAUUUGCCUUGUUAGUGGCUUUCAGGAGAACAAGGCCAGAAGACACAGAGUCCCGGACCUUAUCCACGGUUCCCACACUGGCAUGAUGAAAGCCUGGAGCUGUCUACGAGCAUACAGACCUUGGGGAAAGAGGAGGAAGUCAUAGUGUAGCGCAAAGCUGAACCUCAAGAGGGCAGGAAUGCUGAUGACAUCAUUUGAGUCUCUGGGUCCACUCCGCCCUGUUCUUCCCAGUUAUGUGAAUCAACCAAGUCCCUUUAUUCCUUCACCUAAUGUGAACUGACAAAUCUCAUUCAAUUUAUGGCAAGGGAGUGAGAUUUAAUAAUCUGGUUCUUAGAUUCUGGAAAUGAUUCUUAUUUAGUGCCAAUACUCCUGUAUAGGUGAAUACAUAUCUAUUUUUGAGAAAUCAAUACACAUUUGUAUGCCAAGGCCAAAUUUUGAACUUUUCUUUUAACAUCAGAUAUGGAUUUUAGCCACACUAAGCAAUGAAACUAAGAUGUAAUCACUUGUAUUUACUUUCAUUUGUACCCUAAGUCAUUAGAUGGAUGGCAUGUGAAUAGAGCAAUCUUUCUGGGCCUGCUUUUUCAUCACCCUUAGAUAUGACCACUGAACUCCCUGUGGUUUGUGCUUGUUGCUCUCACAUUUCUACCAGAUUGGGGGACGUCUGCCCAUCACAGUUCACUGGGCACAAUAGAAGUGAGGUGGGGAAAAUCUCCCUGUACAUGCCAAUGCAGUUAGCUUCCUGACAGUGCCUUCGCCCAUCCAUUCAAUUAAAUCAUCCAUUUAUUCAUCAGUUGUUUUUUGAGUUCAGACCCAGAGACAGUACUUGGUGUUGGGGACACAAGUGAGACACAUGCCUGUCCUAACUAAGCU